This 253-nucleotide ribosomal RNA is filed under the name uncultured bacterium. RNAcentral's name for it is "partial 16S ribosomal RNA". It matches the Rfam family "Bacterial small subunit ribosomal RNA", at positions 524 to 776 of the family's 1533-position model. The record is from RNAcentral.
GACGAACCGUCCAAACGUUAUUCGGAAUUACUGGGCUUAAAGGGUGCGUAGGCGGCGCGGAAAGUUGGGUGUGAAAUCCCUCGGCUCAACCGAGGAACUGCGCCCAAUACUACCGUGCUUGAGGGAGAUAGAGGUGAGCGGAACUUAGGGUGGAGCGGUGAAAUGCGUUGAUAUCCUAAGGAACACCGGUGGCGAAAGCGGCUCACUGGAUCUCCUCUGACGCUGAGGCACGAAAGCUAGGGUAGCGAACGGG